GAUGAACGCUGACGGCGUGCCUAAUACAUGCAAGUCGAGCGAACGGACGAGAAGCUUGCUUCUCUGAUGUUAGCGGCGGACGUGUGAGUAACACGUGGAUAACCUACCUAUAAGACUGGGAUAACUUCGGGAAACCGGAGCUAAUACCGGAUAAUAUUUUGAACCGCAUGGUUCAAAAGUGAAAGACGGUCUUGCUGUCACUUAUAGAUGGAUCCGCGCUGCAUUAGCUAGUUGGUAAGGUAACGGCUUAUCAAGGCAACGAUGCAUAGCCGACCUGAGAGGGUGAUCGGCCACACUGGAACUGAGCCACGGUCCAGAGUCCUACGGGAGGCAGCAGUAGGCAAUCUUCCGCAAUGGGCGAAAGCCUGACGGAGCAACGCCGCGUGAGUGAUGACGGUCUUCGGAUCGUAAAACUCUGUUAUUAGGGAAGAACCUAUGUGUACGUAACUGUGCACAUCUUGACGGUACCUAAUCAGAAAGCCACGGCUAACUACGUG
This 497-nucleotide ribosomal RNA is filed under the name uncultured bacterium. RNAcentral describes it as "partial 16S ribosomal RNA". It matches the Rfam family "Bacterial small subunit ribosomal RNA", at positions 28 to 507 of the family's 1533-position model. The record is from RNAcentral.